Molecule: ribosomal RNA, 461 nt
Filed under: uncultured bacterium
Lineage: Bacteria
Description: partial 16S ribosomal RNA
Rfam family: Bacterial small subunit ribosomal RNA
Source: RNAcentral
CCUACGGGUGGCAGCAGUGAGGAAUAUUGGUCAAUGGGCUUACGUCUGAACCAGCCAAGUCGCGUGAGGGAAGACUGCCCUAUGGGUUGUAAACCUCUUUUGUCAGGGAGUAAAUGGCGCUACGUGUAGCGUUAUCGAGAGUACCUGAAGAAAAAGCAUCGGCUAACGCCGUGCCAGCAGCCGCGUUAAUACGGAGGUUCCGAGCGUUAUCCGGAUUUAUUGGGUUUAAAGGUAGCGUAGGUGGAUUGUUAAGUCAGUUGUGAAAGUUUGCGGCUCAACCGUAAAAUUGCAGUUGAAACUGGCAGUCUAGAGUACAGUAGAGGUAGGCGGAAUGCGUGGUGUAGCGGUGAAAUGCUUAGAUAUCACGAAGAACUCCGAUUGCGAAGGCAGUUCACUGGACUACAACUGACGCUGAGGCUCGAAAGUGUGGGUAUCAAACAGGAUUAGAUACCCGGGUAGUC